Cyprinus carpio carpio is the source of this 349-nucleotide long non-coding RNA. The record is from Ensembl. Lineage: Eukaryota; Metazoa; Chordata; Actinopteri; Cypriniformes; Cyprinidae.
GCCAAGCAGUGGGUUUUGGCUGAAAGAGUUCUCGAUGUAAAAAAGGAAACAAGCUUGUAAUGGUCCAGGAUAUAAUGCUGCUGAGAGGACUCGGAUCGCUUGCUCAGCAGAGUUCCAGAUGUCAGUAUGACUCUACUCACCAGAGAACCCUGAGAGACUGAGUUACAGUCCGCUUCUACAGAUAUGCCUCGUGCUUUGUAUCCCGCGAGGUGACCUUACAGCGGCCCAGUGGAGAGCUCUGAAGUAUUCCUCGUUAGAUGAGAGUGCUGUCUGUCUCCUUGUGUUUUCGGUUGAAAAUGAUGCCAUUACGCCUGCUCGCCACCUCUCUCUGUCACCCUAACGAAGCAUG